GGUAAAGUGACCCUGGGUUAAAUCCCCAGUACCAAAAAAUCAAAAACCAAAAAACAAAAAUUCUCCCACACACUUAUAGAGAAGUAAACUACUGUAUGUAUGCUAUUUGAUAAAUUCUCACAAAGUAAACACACCCAUUGCCACACCAGGUCAGGAAAAUAAAACAUUAGCUACUAGGAAGGGCACCGCCAAGAACACUGCAGGUCCCCUCCCAAAAGUCAACCCCGUUUCCUCCCUGUGUUGACUUCUCCCAUUUCUAUUACACAGAAGUUCUGCCUGUUUUUACAGUUCAUGCAGUUGGGACCACAAAUAUGUUUUUAAUUGUUUUAGUCAAUAUUUAGCUUGUGGUUCUAUGCUGCAUGCCUUAUUAAUAUUCAUCAAUGUGUAUUUCAUCCUCUGAAUAUCCCAAGUAUAUUUAUUCAUCCUGCUGUUAAUGAACAUUUGGGAUACUUUUAGUUUGAGCAGUUAUAAUUAUAGUUAUAUUAGCAAUUAUAAGUAGCACCCCUAAAUGAAUUUUGGUAUAUAUCUUUUUGUAUGCGUACGUAUACAGUGUGGUUGGGUACACACCUUGAAAUGAAAUUGCCGUUUGUGAGGUAAGAACACACUUGAUUUUAGUUAGUGCCAAGCAUUUUUAUUAAUUAGUUGCAUCAAUUUACUUGCGUAAGCAAUAAAUGGGAAUUUUAUUCGUUACUGGUCCAUGCCCAAACUUAGCAUUAUUAGUCAUAUUAAUUUUAGC
Molecule: long non-coding RNA, 736 nt
Filed under: Marmota monax (woodchuck)
Lineage: Eukaryota; Metazoa; Chordata; Mammalia; Rodentia; Sciuridae
Source: RNAcentral